Venturia canescens is the source of this 133-nucleotide small nuclear RNA. RefSeq annotates it as U4atac minor spliceosomal RNA. The record is from RefSeq and is a predicted model, not a curated record. The transcript has a single exon. Lineage: Eukaryota; Metazoa; Arthropoda; Insecta; Hymenoptera; Ichneumonidae.
GUUGUCCUUGUCUUUGGGGAGCAUAGUAUACGAUGAUCGUAUAGUGAGGAUACUGAUGCUGAAACCCAUUUAAACGUUUUAUCGCAUCCGUGCCAACACUUUGCUGUUUGUACGCGAUGCAAUUUUUGGCAGC